This 1207-nucleotide ribosomal RNA is filed under the name metagenome. RNAcentral's name for it is "bacterial LSU rRNA". It matches the Rfam family "Bacterial large subunit ribosomal RNA", at positions 1636 to 2836 of the family's 2925-position model. The record is from RNAcentral.
AUACGACCGUACCGCAAACCGACACUGGUGCGCGAGAUGAGUAUUCUAAGGCGCUUGAGAGAACUCAGGAGAAGGAACUCGGCAAAUUGACACCGUAACUUCGGAAGAAGGUGUGCCCUAUUAGUGUGUAGUGAACAACGAAGCAUGAAUGGGUUGCAAAAAAUCGGUGGCUGCGACUGUUUAUUAAAAACACAGCACUCUGCAAACACGAAAGUGGACGUAUAGGGUGUACGCCUGCCCGGUGCUGGAAGAUUAAAUGAUGGGGUGCAAGCUCUUGAUUGAAGUCCCAGUAAACGGCGGCCGUAACUAUAACGGUCCUAAGGUAGCGAAAUUCCUUGUCGGGUAAGUUCCGACCUGCACGAAUGGCGUAACGAUGGCCACACUGUCUCCUCCUGAGACUCAGCGAAGUUGAAAUGUUUGUGAUGAUGCAAUCUCCCCGCGGAAAGACGGAAAGACCCCAUGAACCUUUACUGUAGCUUUGUAUUGGACUUUGAACAGAUCUGUGUAGGAUAGGUGGGAGGCUUUGAAGCAGGGUCGCUAGAUCUUGUGGAGCCAACGUUGAAAUACCACCCUGGUGUGUUUGAGGUUCUAACUUAGGUCCAUUAUCUGGAUCGGGGACAGUGCAUGGUAGGCAGUUUGACUGGGGCGGUCUCCUCCCGAAGCGUAACGGAGGAGUUCGAAGGUACGCUAGUUACGGUCGGACAUCGUGACGAUAGUGCAAUGGCAUAAGCGUGCUUAACUGCGAGACUGACAAGUCGAGCAGAUGCGAAAGCAGGACAUAGUGAUCCGGUGGUUCUGUAUGGAAGGGCCAUCGCUCAACGGAUAAAAGGUACUCUGGGGAUAACAGGCUGAUACCGCCCAAGAGUUCAUAUCGACGGCGGUGUUUGGCACCUCGAUGUCGGCUCAUCUCAUCCUGGGGCUGUAGCCGGUCCCAAGGGUAUGGCUGUUCGCCAUUUAAAGAGGUACGUGAGCUGGGUUUAAAACGUCGUGAGACAGUUUGGUCCCUAUCUUCCGUGGGCGCUGCAGAUUUGAGGAAGCCUGCUCCUAGUACGAGAGGACCGGAGUGGACACACCUCUGGUGUAUCGGUUGUCACGCCAGUGGCAUUGCCGAGUAGCUAAGUGUGGAAGAGAUAACCGCUGAAAGCAUCUAAGCGGGAAACUCGUUUCAAGAUGAGAUCUGCCGGGGCCUUGAGCCCCCUAAAGAGCC